CCGCCAUCAGCUCCAGCCUCCCCACGGGGUGUGCCGCGGCCCUGGCCUCAUGGCUGGCCAGCCCGGCUCUCCCUUCACCUAGGCCGGGGGCCCUCACUCUUUCAGGCCUUGGUGCCCGGAGGACCGCCCCCCAGACCACUUUGCAUUUUCAGGGCCUCCAGAGAAUCCAUCUCCCCAGCCCUGCGAUGCCAGACCCGGUGUAGAGGGAGGGGCCNNNNNNNNNNGGGGUGGGGGAGGAGGGGAAGGGGGCUGGGGGCUUGAGAGGCAGUGUCCCUGAUGGACCCCAGAGGCUCCCUCCAGCGGGCAGGGGGCAGGACAGUACCAGGAGCCUCGUCCCCCGGCAAGUGUGCUUUUGAUUAGCUGUACGAGAAAGCCGUGGGGACUGAGUGUCCACUGGCUGCGCUUCUAGGGGCUGCUGGAAGGAAUGCUGUACGCAGGCGUGGAAGAGGCCCUGCUUCUGCCGUGAGAACACGUGCAAGUCUUGACCGGGAUUUGCAGCCCACGGGCGGGAGCCAGGCUUAGAUUCCUCUAGGAAAACAUCUGAGAUUCUACUGGAAAACAGCGAGGAAACCAUUCUAUGUCCCCACCAGGCAGCCUCAAGCUGGAAAGAUCUCAGGCCUGCCUGCGUCUAUACAGACAGACCACAGACUUUCUCAAGUGCAGCGUAGACGGGGCUGAGAAGCAGGACCUCUGGGCAGACACUGGAGACACCAGUAGUUUUCAAAUGGUGUUUUCAGGAGCCCCAGGGGGUCCACUGGGGUGGAAGAGGCUGCCCCAGAGGGGUGAGGGGGGCCGCUCCCGCUGGGCGUCGACGAGAGCAUCCCACUUUAGUCCGUUUCACCUUCUGGGCUUCCUCAGGACUUCCUGUGAUAGACGCCAAGGAAACUCAGAAACGUGCUGGCCCAGAACGACUGCCCGCUCUCGCGAGGUCCUGGCAGAAACGGAGAAGCAAGACAGCCUCGGUGGCCAAGUGCCAGCUGGGUACCGCAGUGCCGGCUUCCACUACUUCACUAGGAAAGAAUGCAGAACCCACCAGAAGGAGCUCACGUUGCACUUUUCCCAGUCAACCAAACCUCUUCCCGGGCCUUGGGGAAUAUGACGGGUGGGGUUCCACCAUUCGGCCUGCAACCUGAGAAGGUGCAGAGACUGCCCGGCUUCAGAUCCACCACCUGGAGGAGGGUCCCCACAGGUCAAAGCACGGGGGCUCCCCACCUGAGAAGCUUCCGGAGCCACAAGGGGCUGUGGACUGUGCCAGUCGAGGGUCUGGAGCCUGUAAUUGGGCCAAACCACCCAGGCACUGGUUCAUCAGAAUGAAUCUCAACCCACUGAAGCACGAGGGUCUGGCUUGCCGCUGGCUGAGGCCACAGACGCGGCUCCGUGUCUUCAGGGAGCCCUCACGCUCUGGGAGGCGCACACGCUCGCUUCCUUGCCACACAAAGUUCAAAUUGAGGAGGGAAAGAUGAGUUUCAGAUGCUAAGAAAAAAAGUCCUUAGGGACUUUUCGAGGAAACGAAUCAGCCCGCUCUCGGGCCUCCGCGGGAGAGAAGCCUCCGCUCUCUGCCCCGUCUCUGAUGGACGUGGCUGCCGUGUCGUUGGUAUUCCAAACGUGGCCUGUAAUUUCCUGCGACCUGGAAAUCCAGAUGUUCCCCGGUUUAGACUUCACUGCUCAGAACAAUGGAUUUUAGUAAAAUGCCCCCUGGAACUUCUCUGGAACUCUCUUUUUAAUGGGAUGAGCGUGACGGAAAAAUGCAGAAAUUGCCAAAGUGUGCCUUAAUGAAUGAUCACGGGGUGGUGCCAGGUAUGACACCCAGGUGGUGGCCGCUAUGGAGCCAACCUUCUCACUAGGAGCUCGGAGCCCCUCCUACCUAUGUCCCCUCACCCAACCCCAGAGCCUCUAAGGCCUCCUUAAGGAAGAUCCAUCUGUGUGGCUGGGGACACUCCUGUUUCCUUUGCUGUGUAACCUCAUUGAGGCCUUUAUUUAGAAGGAAAGAAAGUUAGCUUGUUGCUUGAAGGGGAAGCCUUCCCCGGGGUGGCGGGGAGGAGCUCUGGGAGGGAGGACCAGCCUGGGGCGGCCCCCUGGGGGAUCAGUGACCCCUCUGGCUCUCCCGCCCAUCCUCCACCGAUGGCACCCAAGUGUGACUCAGGCCGCUGGUAUUUGCAGGCUGCCUCCAGCGAGCUGGAGAAGGAAUCCCAGCUAUUAAAGGCUGUGCUAAUUACAAGCAAGCGCCUCCCAGCAGAUGGUCCAGCGUGGGUAAUCCUCUCCUUUCCCUGCCCCUACAUCCUACAUUUUUUGAUGAUAGGAGGCAGAGAACUGGUCUAGGAUUCAAAAGAUGAGCUGUCCUCCAGUUUCAAAUGCCCUCCCUUCCUCUGGAGCAUGGACGCCCCACCCAAGCCCCGUCCUCUGCAGAGAGAGUGCCCAAGAGCUGCUCGGCCUUGGCGUCCACCCUGCCCAGGGGCAGUGAAAUGGGAUGGUGUUACUCACUUGUCAUGUCUGACUCUUGUGACCCCAUGGACUGCAGCCCACCAGGCUCCUCUGUCCAUGGGGUUCUCCAGGCAAGAAGACUGGACUGGGUUGCAGUGCCCUCCUCCAGGGGCUCUUCCUGACUCAGGGAUCAAACCCCGGUCUCCCGAACUGCAGGCGGAUUCAUCACCAUCUGAGCCACCAGGGCCUGGUCACUAAGUCAGUGGACAGAAUCAGCGGCUUUCCUAUGAAGAGACAAAGCCCUCGGAGCAAGCAAAGGAGGGGACGCCCUGGGGCCCAGUGGGCAAGAUCCCACCUCUCGGUGCAGGGGACCCAGAUUCGCUCUCUGCUCAGGGAGCUAAGAUUACAUGCGCCUCGCAGCCCAAAAAGCAAAAGGAGCGUAAAACAGACGCAGUCUUGUAACAAAUUCUUCAAUAAAGGCUUCAAACGUGCUCCAAAUCGAGAAAUCUUUAAAAAAAAUUAACAAAUAAAAAAAACAAUGCCAGCUUACAAAAUACUAAAACUUUCCAAACUAACUAAGCCUAUGAAACCAAAAAUGUGUGGGAUCCAUAGGAAGAAAGCAUUAAACCUAAGUUCUAUAAAAUCAGAUGAAAAAGGAGAGAGACCUCUUCGUGCAUGGGAGACAUACUGAAUAUAAGGAUGUCAUCUCCUCCUGAAAUUAUCUAUUCGUGGGAACCUAAUCCUCAUUACAAUACCAUGGGGGUACUGCAAGGAAUUUAAGAAACUUCUUUUUGUUAGUUUAAAUAAGACAAUGACUCCAUGAGGACAGACCAGAACUUUCUGCUUUGACACUUAAGUCGCCGAAGCAGCCCUCCCCAACUUUAAAGCCUGCACGUUUGAAACAGCUGAGAGCUGGAGGCCUCAGGCCACCAGAGGAAGUGAGCAAAUCCAGAAAUAGCCCAGGAAGACACGUGGGAUCACAGAAGACGAUAAAUUGGAGGGAGGAGAUGGGAUGCCCUGUAAAUUAUGGUCGAGCAAAUGACUAGUCAUUUGGAGGGAAAAAGCUUAAGGAAGACCUGAAUUCCUACUCUCCCCUUCCACCAAAACAAAUUCCACAAGGACAGAGUUUUAAACAUGAAAAAUGAAAUGGUAAAAAGUCAGGAAACAAGCCACAUAUGGAUUUGUAAUACAGUCCUGGCGUGGAAAAGACCAUUCUGGACCAUACUGCCCCCAAAAUAUGGAUUGAUUUGCAUACAUAAAAUGUGAAGCUUCUGCAGAGCAGACGCGUGUACACCCAUGCACAUACAUGCCUGUGUGUCGCACAGACACUGUCACGCACAGAGGAAGGCGUGUGUGUUGCACGGACACUGUCGCGCACAGAGGAAGGAGUGUGUGUCGCACAGACACUGUCGCGCACAGAGGAAGGCGUGUGUACCCGUGUGUAUGUAGACGUACACACAUACGGACGUAACUGUCUCACGUACAUACCCAAAUUCACAGAUAACCCAGCAAAAACACAAAAACUGGCUACAGGAUAGACCAAGGUUCGAUUCCUUCAUAAACCAAGAGCUUACGCAGUCAGUUCAGUUCCGUUCAUUCUCUCAGCCGCAUCCAACUCUGUGACCCUACAGACUGCAGCACGCCAGGCCUUCCUGUCCAUCACCAACUCCCGGAGCUUACUCAAACUCAUGUCCGUUGAGUCAAUGACGCCAUCCAGUCAUUUCAUCCUCUGUUUCCCCCUUCUCCUCCCUCCUUCAAUCUUUCCCAGCAUCAGGGUCUUUUCCAAUGAGUCGGUUCUUCCCAUCAGGUGGCAGAUGUAUUGGAGUUUCAUCUUCAGCAUCAGUCCUUCCAAUGAAUAUUCUGGACUUAUCUCCUUUAGGAUGGACUGGUUGGAUCUCCUUGCAGUCCAAGGGACUCUCAAGAGUCUUCUCCAACCCCACAGUUCAAAAGCAUCAAUU
This 4379-nucleotide long non-coding RNA is filed under the name Ovis aries (sheep). RNAcentral's name for it is "lncRNA (ENSOARG00000025935.1)". Lineage: Eukaryota; Metazoa; Chordata; Mammalia; Artiodactyla; Bovidae. The record is from RNAcentral.